CAGUCGCCGCGGUAAUCCGUAGGGUGCAAGCGUUAAUCGGAAUUACUGGGCGUAAAGCGUGCGCAGGCGGUUAUAUAAGACAGAUGUGAAAUCCCCGGGCUCAACCUGGGAACUGCAUUUGUGACUGUAUAGCUAGAGUACGGCAGAGGGGGAUGGAAUUCCGCGUGUAGCAGUGAAAUGCGUAGAUAUGCGGAGGAACACCGAUGGCGAAGGCAAUCCCCUGGGCCUGUACUGACGCUCAUGCACGAAAGCGUGGGGAGCAAACAGGAUUAGAUACCCGCGUAGUCCCUGUCUCUUAUAC
Molecule: ribosomal RNA, 301 nt
Filed under: uncultured bacterium
Lineage: Bacteria
Description: partial 16S ribosomal RNA
Rfam family: Bacterial small subunit ribosomal RNA
Source: RNAcentral